AAGUCGUAACAAGGUUUCCGUAGGUGAACCUGCGGAAGGAUCAUUAACGAGUUUUGAAGUGGGUUUGAUGCUGGCCUUCCCAGGCAUGUGCUCGCCCUGCUCUCAUCCACUCACACCUGUGCACCUAUAAAUGUCAGAAGAUUCAUCCCCUAGACUCUUAGGGGUGUAGUUCGAGCUAGCUUGGACUAUUGGGUUGUCUCUUUUGCGUUUACCCUUUAUAAACUCUUGAAUGUAAUAGAAUGUCCAUGGCCUACGGGCUUUUAUAAAUGAAAUACAACUUUCAACAACGGAUCUCUUGGCUCUC
Molecule: unclassified non-coding RNA, 304 nt
Filed under: air metagenome
Description: partial contains small subunit ribosomal RNA, internal transcribed spacer 1, and 5.8S ribosomal RNA
Rfam family: Eukaryotic small subunit ribosomal RNA (bases 1-46)
Source: RNAcentral